This 490-nucleotide ribosomal RNA is filed under the name uncultured bacterium. RNAcentral describes it as "partial 16S ribosomal RNA". It matches the Rfam family "Bacterial small subunit ribosomal RNA", at positions 30 to 507 of the family's 1533-position model. The record is from RNAcentral.
AUUGAACGCUGGCGGCAGGCCUAACACAUGCAAGUCGAACGGUAACAGGAAGAAGCUUGCUUCUUUGCUGACGAGUGGCGGACGGGUGAGUAAUGUCUGGGAAACUGCCUGAUGGAGGGGGAUAACUACUGGAAACGGUAGCUAAUACCGCAUAACGUCGCAAGACCAAAGAGGGGGACCUUCGGGCCUCUUGCCAUCGGAUGUGCCCAGAUGGGAUUAGCUAGUAGGUGGGGUAACGGCUCACCUAGGCGACGAUCCCUAGCUGGUCUGAGAGGAUGACCAGCCACACUGGAACUGAGACACGGUCCAGACUCCUACGGGAGGCAGCAGUGGGGAAUAUUGCACAAUGGGCGCAAGCCUGAUGCAGCCAUGCCGCGUGUAUGAAGAAGGCCUUCGGGUUGUAAAGUACUUUCAGCGGGGAGAAAGGGAGUAAAGUUAAUACCUUUGCUCAUUGACGUUACCCGCAGAAGAAGCACCGGCUAACUCCGUG